Non-coding RNA from Odocoileus virginianus texanus, 489 nucleotides. The record is from RefSeq and is a predicted model, not a curated record. Lineage: Eukaryota; Metazoa; Chordata; Mammalia; Artiodactyla; Cervidae.
CCGCCCAGCGCUUCCUGCGGGUUUAGCAGUUACUCAGAGUUAGAAAGAUGGAUUGUUUUGUGCCUUUACCAUUUUACCCGGAUUCUCUGACCUGACAGAUUGAGAAACACGACACUUAAGAAGCACCAGCUAUUUUUCAAGCAUUGGAGAACAGAGAUGAACAAAUGCUGGCCCUCAGGAACAUAUCAGGAAAGAGAUCUGACACCACACAAACUCCUCCUCCUCCAUCCCCUGUACCCAGCUAGUCACCUCAACAGUAUCUUUAGGUCUUUGGAUGGAGAUGACUUUAGACUGCCAAGAAAAGGCAUAGCUCUCCUUAUUCUGAGGAAUGCAGUCAUGGUGAAGACAGAAACUGUUUGCAUUAGCUGAUGAAAUCCAGAACUUGAUGGAACACCACAGACCUUAUGUUGGAGGAGGGUAAGGAUCUUGCGGGAUCUGACUGGAUACCCAGCGGAUUGAUGUUGUAUCUCAGAAACUGAACUACUGCUU